Molecule: non-coding RNA, 85 nt
Organism: Thermoplasmatales archaeon SG8-52-1
Lineage: Archaea; Methanobacteriati; Thermoplasmatota; Thermoplasmata; Thermoplasmatales
Source: Rfam
GCAGGGGUAGCCAAGCUUGGUCUACGGCGCAAGGUUCAGGGCCUUGUCCUGCAGAGGUUCAAGGGUUCAAAUCCCUUCCCCUGCA